ACGGGUGAGUAAUGUCUGGGAAACUGCCUGAUGGAGGGGGAUAACUACUGGAAACGGUAGCUAAUACCGCAUAACGUCGCAAGACCAAAGAGGGGGACCUUCGGGCCUCUUGCCAUCAGAUGUGCCCAGAUGGGAUUAGCUAGUAGGUGGGGUAACGGCUCACCUAGGCGACGAUCCCUAGCUGGUCUGAGAGGAUGACCAGCCACACUGGAACUGAGACACGGUCCAGACUCCUACGGGAGGCAGCAGUGGGGAAUAUUGCACAAUGGGCGCAAGCCUGAUGCAGCCAUGCCGCGUGUAUGAAGAAGGCCUUCGGGUUGUAAAGUACUUUCAGCGGGGAGGAAGGUGUUGCGGUUAAUAACCGCAGCAAUUGACGUUACCCGCAGAAGAAGCACCGGCUAACUCCGUGCCAGCAGCCGCGGUAAUACGGAGGGUGCAAGCGUUAAUCGGAAUUACUGGGCGUAAAGCGCACGCAGGCGGUCUGUCAAGUCGGAUGUGAAAUCCCCGGGCUCAACCUGGGAACUGCAUUCGAAACUGGCAGGCUAGAGUCUUGUAGAGGGGGGUAGAAUUCCAGGUGUAG
This 580-nucleotide ribosomal RNA is filed under the name uncultured bacterium. RNAcentral's name for it is "bacterial SSU rRNA". It matches the Rfam family "Bacterial small subunit ribosomal RNA", at positions 102 to 678 of the family's 1533-position model. The record is from RNAcentral.